Molecule: long non-coding RNA, 1402 nt
Filed under: Sus scrofa (pig)
Lineage: Eukaryota; Metazoa; Chordata; Mammalia; Artiodactyla; Suidae
Description: lncRNA (ENSSSCG00055026267.1)
Source: RNAcentral
GACACGCCCUCUUCGGCCCUGGGAGUGAAGGGAGUGGAGGCGGAACCUGAAGUAGGUGCUAAGGCCGCGGAGGCUGGGAAUUUAGGUCGUUUUUGUUUGCUUUUUCAAUGGAGCUGACGAAUGUAGCUCAGGAUCUUGUAUGAAGUAGUUUUACGACAUUUACACUCUACCUGACCGGAAGCAGCACUUGGAGUUCCUGGGCCAGGGAUCAGAUUGGAGCUGCAGUUCUGUAGUUGUGGCAAUGCCGAUCCUUAAUCAUUGUGCCUGGCUGGAAUCAAACCUGCGCCCCAGUGCUCCAGAGAUGCCGCCAAUCUCCCCUUGCACCACAGUGGGAACUCCUGUUCUCGAGGCUGAGAAGUCCAGGAUCAAGGCUGUGGCAGAUUCAUUGUUGGGUGAGUACCCUCUUGUUUGUUCACAGAACCAUCACACAGAAAAAGAGAUAAGGGAUGGAUCUCUCUGGAGCCCCUUAUAUAAAGACACUAAUUCCAUUCAUGAGCUUCCAUCCUCAUGACCUAAUCACAUCCCCCAAGCCUCUCCUUUUAAAUCAUCACAUUAGAGUUUGCCAUAUGAAUUUGGGAGGGCUCAGAUAUUCAGUCUCUAGCAUUAGGGCACUAGAGAAAGAGGAGCAUCAGAGGACUCUUUCAAAUUCUAAUAAAAUCAAUCUUAGAUCAAGAUUUAGACAUUGGAGUUCCCAUAGUAGCUCAGUGGUUAAGGAACCCGAUUAGUAUCCAUGAGAACGUGGGUUCGAUACCUGGCCUUGCUCAGAGGGUUAAGAAUCCAGCGUUGCUCAACGUGAGCUAUGAUGUAGGUCGCAGACGUGGCUCAGAUCCUGCAUUGCUGUGGCUGUGGGCAGCUGCAGCUCCUAUUUGACCCCUAGCCUGGGAACCUCCCGAUGCUACAAGUGGGCACCAAAAGGACCAAAAAAAAAAAAAAAAAAGACUUAGAAGUUCAUUAUGUUCUCCUGAUCUUUUAUUUAAAAACUAAUCCUGUGAUUCGCAAGCUACAUAUAAGUUGGUUGGCUUUUCAUCUGUUUAUCUAUCUGUCUUCUCUAUUGAUGGUGGAUUGUAAACUCCUAGUUCAGUUUCUUUCAUGGUUUUACAAACACUGAAUUUUCCUACUUUUCCUUGAGUCAACUUUAGUAACAUUUGUAUUUGCAGGAACUUGUCAGUUGUUGUCUAAGUUUUCUAACUUAAUGGCAGAAAGUUGUCCACAAUAUUAUUUUAUUUAAAAAAUCCCUAUUGCACUUGUUAUAUCCCUUUUUUGAUUCCAAUAAUUUUCUAUUUUCCCUGAGCUUUUUCCUUAUCCGUUAUGUUAGUGAUUUUAUUUUGUCUCAUUUUACUAGUUUUUCUAAGCAACCAUCUUGAUGAUAGUAAAAUAACCAAAAAAAAAAAAAAAAAAAAAA